GGGACUAUAGUUAACAAUAACAUUUGAGUUGCAUUCAAAAAGUACUGCUUGGGCAGUUAGCCUCA
RNAcentral lists this transfer RNA (65 nucleotides) under Procubitermes arboricola. RNAcentral's name for it is "tRNA-Ala". Lineage: Eukaryota; Metazoa; Arthropoda; Insecta; Blattodea; Termitidae. RNAcentral also lists the same sequence under 2 other names. The record is from RNAcentral.